AGUGAACGCUGGCGGUAGGCCUAACACAUGCAAGUCGAACGGCAGCACAGAGGAGCUUGCUCCUUGGGUGGCGAGUGGCGGACGGGUGAGGAAUACAUCGGAAUCUACUCUGUCGUGGGGGAUAACGUAGGGAAACUUACGCUACUACCGCAUACGACCUACGGGUGAAAGCAGGGGAUCUUCGGACCUUGCGCGAUUGAAUGAGCCGCUGUCGGAUUAGGUAGUUGGCGGGGUAAAGGCCCACCAAGGCGACGAUCCGUAGCUGGUCUGAGAGGAUGAUCAGCCACACUGGAACUGAGACACGGUCCAGACUCCUACGGGAGGCAGCAGUGGGGAAUAUUGGACAAUGGGCGCAAGCCUGAUCCAGCCAUACCGCGUGGGUGAAGAAGGCCUUCGGGUUGUAAAGCCCUUUUGUUGGGAAAGAAAUCCAUCUGGUUAAUACCCGGGUGGGAUGACGGUACCCAAAGAAUAAGCACCGGCUAACUUCGUGCCAGCAGCCGCCGUAA
RNAcentral lists this ribosomal RNA (506 nucleotides) under uncultured bacterium. Its description in RNAcentral is "partial 16S ribosomal RNA". It matches the Rfam family "Bacterial small subunit ribosomal RNA", at positions 29 to 523 of the family's 1533-position model. The record is from RNAcentral.